GAUGAACGCUGGCGGCGUGCUUAACACAUGCAAGUCGAACGAUGAAGCUCAGCUUGCUGGGUGGAUUAGUGGCGAACGGGUGAGUAACACGUUAGUAACCUGCCCUUAACUCUGGGAUAAGCCUGGGACACUGGGUCUAAUACCGGAUAGGAGCGUCCACCGCAUGGUGGGUGUUGGAACGCUUUAUCGGUGUUGGAUGGACUCGCGGCCGAUCAGCUUGUUGGUGAGGUAAUGGCUCACCAAGGCGACGACGGGUAGCCGGCCUGAGAGGGUGACCGGCCACACUGGGACUGAGACACGGCCCAGAGUCCUACAGGAGGCAGCAGUGGGGAAUAUUGCACGAUGGGCGCAAGCCUGAUGCAGCGACGCCGCGUGAGGGAUGACGGCCUUCGGGUUGUAAACCUCUUUCAGUAGGGAAGAAGCGACAGUGACGGUACCUGCAGAAGAAGCACCGGCUAACUACGUG
This 466-nucleotide ribosomal RNA is filed under the name uncultured bacterium. RNAcentral describes it as "partial 16S ribosomal RNA". It matches the Rfam family "Bacterial small subunit ribosomal RNA", at positions 28 to 507 of the family's 1533-position model. The record is from RNAcentral.